UGGGGAAUAUUGGACAAUGGGCGCAAGCCUGAUCCAGCAAUGCCGCGUGUGUGAAGAAGGCCUUCGGGUUGUAAAGCACUUUUAUCGGGAGCGAAAAGCGGCCGGCUAAUACCCGGUCGUGCUGACGGUACCCGAGGAAUAAGCACCGGCUAACUUCGUGCCAGCAGCCGCGGUAAUACGAAGGGUGCAAGCGUUAAUCGGAAUUACUGGGCGUAAAGCGUGCGUAGACGGCCUUUUAAGUCUGCUGUGAAAGCCCUGGGCUCAACCUGGGAACUGCAGUGGAUACUGUGAGGCUGGAGUGCGGUAGAGGAUGGUGGAAUUCCCGGUGUAGCGGUGAAAUGCGUAGAGAUCGGGAGGAACAUCAGUGGCGAAGGCGGCCAUCUGG
This 385-nucleotide ribosomal RNA is filed under the name uncultured bacterium. RNAcentral describes it as "bacterial SSU rRNA". It matches the Rfam family "Bacterial small subunit ribosomal RNA", at positions 355 to 732 of the family's 1533-position model. The record is from RNAcentral.